GCCCGUCCUGUGGCGGUUCGGAUCGCUUCCGUUUCGAUGAUGGGGGCCGCGGCAGCUUUAUCUGCAACCAGUGCGGCGCCGGUGACGGCCU
RNAcentral lists this transfer RNA (91 nucleotides) under Klebsiella pneumoniae. RNAcentral describes it as "tRNA-Ser(cga)". The record is from RNAcentral. Lineage: Bacteria; Pseudomonadati; Pseudomonadota; Gammaproteobacteria; Enterobacterales; Enterobacteriaceae.